UUCCUACGACUCCUCCUGAAGGUCUCGCGCACAACACGGCUGACGUCGUCACCAAGGUUGCCAUCGAGACGCGGGUGAACAUCGACAUGGUGGCGAUCCGUAGGCAGGGGUUCACCAAUGUCCAGGUCAAGACCCGGAUUGCCACCGCGAUCAGCCAGCUGGUCAACAACGGCGGCCUCGGGGAGAACCUCCCUGUCUCCAAGAUCAUCGAGGCAGCGGAGUCCCCCCGGU
This 231-nucleotide ribosomal RNA is filed under the name uncultured eukaryote. RNAcentral describes it as "partial small subunit ribosomal RNA". The record is from RNAcentral.